CGGGAAACUGCGCGCGCGCUAAUGGCCCUCCCUGAGGCCGCCGUCGCGGGACAAGGGUGGCCGGCUAAGUCUUGCUAAAACUGGUGAGUUUCAAUAAGGAUGAGCAGUCUACAAUCCUACCACCAGUUCAUUACCUCUGAACAACUUUUGUGGCCUUUUGAAUUCUAUGUGCAGUU
Long non-coding RNA from Thamnophis elegans (Western terrestrial garter snake), 176 nucleotides. RefSeq lists it as uncharacterized. The transcript has 2 exons. The record is from RefSeq and is a predicted model, not a curated record. Lineage: Eukaryota; Metazoa; Chordata; Lepidosauria; Squamata; Natricidae.